Molecule: ribosomal RNA, 446 nt
Filed under: uncultured bacterium
Lineage: Bacteria
Description: partial 16S ribosomal RNA
Rfam family: Bacterial small subunit ribosomal RNA
Source: RNAcentral
CCUACGGGUGGCAGCAGUCGAGAAUCAUUCACAAUGGGGGAAACCCUGAUGGUGCGACGCCGCGUGGGGGAAUGAAGGUCUUCGGAUUGUAAACCCCUGUCAUGUGGGAGCAAAUUAAAAAGAUAGUACCACAAGAGGAAGAGACGGCUAACUCUGUGCCAGCAGCCGCGGAAAUACAGAGGUCUCAAGCGUUGUUCGGAAUCACUGGGCGUAAGGCGUUCGUAGGCUGUUUCGUAAGUCGUGUGUGAAAGGCGCGGGCUCAACCCGCGGACGGCACAUGAUACUGCGAGACUAGAGUAAUGGAGGGGGAACCGGAAUUCUCGGUGGAGCAGUGAAAUGCGUAGAUAUCGAGAGGAACACUCGUGGCGAAGGCGGGUUCCUGGACAUUAACUGACGCUGAGGCACGAAGGCCAGGGGAGCGAAAGGGAUUAGAUACCCUGGUAGUC